CUGAUGCGUCUUUUGGAUGCAAUCCAAAAGUACUCACCUUGUGUGCACCGUAAUUGUCUCUAGCAGUGUCUCUGUUGUGCACAGAGUUCACCGGCUCUUGGAGCUGGGCUGCUGCAGGGGAUAUCGACCUCUUGGAUUUGACUAGGCUGGCUGCUAGCAAGAAACGUCUCUACUUGCAAAGUGUCUGGCUGGGGGCUAGGAAGAAACGUCUCUACUUUCUAGCAAGAAACGUCGUUUCUUAAGUAGAUAUCCUCUACGAAAAAUACACCUUGUCUGAAUCUCGAGUCUUAAUACAUGUUGCAUAUGUCUUGACAC
RNAcentral lists this unclassified non-coding RNA (315 nucleotides) under soil metagenome. RNAcentral describes it as "partial internal transcribed spacer 1". The record is from RNAcentral.